UACGUAGGGUGCAAGCGUUGUCCGGAAUUAUUGGGCGUAAAGAGCGUGUAGGCGGCCAGGUAGGUCUGCUGUGAAAACUCGAGGCUUAACCUCGAGCUGUCGGCGGAAACCAUCUGGCUAGAGUCCGGAAGAGGAGAGUGGAAUUCCUGGUGUAGCGGUGAAAUGCGCAGAUAUCAGGAAGAACACCCGUGGCGAAGGCGGCUCUCUGGGACGGUACUGACGCUGAGACGCGAAAGCGUGGGGAGCGAACAGG
This 253-nucleotide ribosomal RNA is filed under the name uncultured bacterium. RNAcentral's name for it is "partial 16S ribosomal RNA". It matches the Rfam family "Bacterial small subunit ribosomal RNA", at positions 524 to 776 of the family's 1533-position model. The record is from RNAcentral.